RNAcentral lists this ribosomal RNA (425 nucleotides) under uncultured bacterium. Its description in RNAcentral is "bacterial SSU rRNA". It matches the Rfam family "Bacterial small subunit ribosomal RNA", at positions 356 to 773 of the family's 1533-position model. The record is from RNAcentral.
GGGGAAUAUUGCACAAUGGGCGCAAGCCUGAUGCAGCCAUGCCGCGUGUGUGAAGAAGGCCUUCGGGUUGUAAAGCACUUUCAGCGAGGAGGAAGGUGGUGAGCUUAAUACGUUCAUCAAUUGACGUUACUCGCAGAAGAAGCACCGGCUAACUCCGUGCCAGCAGCCGCGGUAAUACGGAGGGUGCAAGCGUUAAUCGGAAUUACUGGGCGUAAAGCGCACGCAGGCGGUUUGUUAAGUCAGAUGUGAAAUCCCCGGGCUCAACCUGGGAACUGCAUUUGAAACUGGCAAGCUAGAGUCUCGUAGAGGGGGGUAGAAUUCCAGGUGUAGCGGUGAAAUGCGUAGAGAUCUGGAGGAAUACCGGUGGCGAAGGCGGCCCCCUGGACGAAGACUGACGCUCAGGUGCGAAAGCGUGGGGAGCAAAC